UACGGGGGGGGCAAGCGUUGUUCGGAAUUACUGGGCGUAAAGGGCUCGUAGGCGGCCAACUAAGUCGGACGUGAAAUCCCCAGGCUCAACCUGGGAACUGCGUCCGAUACUGGAUGGCUUGAAUCCGGGAGAGGGAUGCAGAAUUCCAGGUGUAGCGGUGAAAUGCGUAGAUAUCUGGAGGAAUACCGGUGGCGAAGGCGGCGGCCUGGACCGGCAUUGACGCUGAGGAGCGAAAGCCAGGGGAGCAAACGGG
RNAcentral lists this ribosomal RNA (253 nucleotides) under uncultured bacterium. RNAcentral's name for it is "partial 16S ribosomal RNA". It matches the Rfam family "Bacterial small subunit ribosomal RNA", at positions 524 to 776 of the family's 1533-position model. The record is from RNAcentral.